This 253-nucleotide unclassified non-coding RNA is filed under the name uncultured Oligoflexales bacterium. RNAcentral describes it as "contains 16S-23S intergenic spacer region". It matches the Rfam family "Bacterial small subunit ribosomal RNA", at positions 524 to 776 of the family's 1533-position model. Lineage: Bacteria; Pseudomonadati; Bdellovibrionota; Oligoflexia; Oligoflexales. The record is from RNAcentral.
UACGGAGGGUGCAAGCGUUGCUCGGAAUUAUUGGGCGUAAAGGGUAGGUAGGUGGUCUUGUUUGUCAGGGGUGAAAGCCUUGGGCUUAACCUGAGAAGUGCCUCUGAAACGGCAAGACUAGAGUCCUGGAGAGGGUCGUGGAAUUCCCGGUGUAGCGGUGAAAUGCGUAGAGAUCGGGAGGAACACCAGAGGCGAAGGCGGCGACCUGGACAGGAACUGACACUAAACUACGAAAGCGUGGGUAGCAAACAGG